AGCUCGUCAACAGCUUGGAGUUCUUCAACAA
RNAcentral lists this small RNA (31 nucleotides) under Arabidopsis thaliana (thale cress). RNAcentral's name for it is "ATSL135490". The record is from RNAcentral. Lineage: Eukaryota; Viridiplantae; Streptophyta; Magnoliopsida; Brassicales; Brassicaceae.